Molecule: ribosomal RNA, 253 nt
Filed under: uncultured bacterium
Lineage: Bacteria
Description: partial 16S ribosomal RNA
Rfam family: Bacterial small subunit ribosomal RNA
Source: RNAcentral
UACGUAGGGUGCAAGCGUUGUCCGGAAUUAUUGGGCGUAAAGAGCGUGUAGGCGGCCCGACAAGUCCGCUGUGAAAGUCCAGGGCUCAACCCUGGAAUGCCGGUGGAUACUGUCGGGCUAGAGUCCGGAAGGGGCGAGUGGAAUUCCUGGUGUAGCGGUGAAAUGCGCAGAUAUCAGGAGGAACACCGGUGGCGAAGGCGGGACUCUGGGCCGAUACUGACGCUGAGGAGCGAAAGCGUGGGGAGCAAACAGG